This 497-nucleotide ribosomal RNA is filed under the name uncultured bacterium. Its description in RNAcentral is "partial 16S ribosomal RNA". It matches the Rfam family "Bacterial small subunit ribosomal RNA", at positions 28 to 507 of the family's 1533-position model. The record is from RNAcentral.
GUUGAACGCUGGCGGCGUGCCUAAUACAUGCAAGUCGAGCGGACGGACGAGAAGCUUGCUUCUCUGAUGUUAGCGGCGGACGGGUGAGUAACACGUGGAUAACCUACCUAUAAGACUGGGAUAACUUCGGGAAACCGGAGCUAAUACCGGAUAAUAUUUUGAACCGCAUGGUUCAAAAGUGAGAGACGGUCUUGCUGUCACUUAUAGAUGGAUCCGCGCUGCAUUAGCUAGUUGGUAAGGUAACGGCUUACCAAGGCAACGAUGCAUAGCAGACCUGAGAGGAUGAUCGGCCACACUGGAACUGAGACACGGUCCAGACUCCUACGGGAGGCAGCAGUAGGGAAUCUUCCGCAAUGGGCGAAAGCCUGACGGAGCAAUGCCGCGUGAGUGAUGAAGGUCUUCGGAUCGUAAAACUCUGUUAUUAGGGAAGAACAUAUGUGUAAGUAACUGUGCACAUCUUGACGGUACCUAAUCAGAAAGCCACGGCUAACUACGUG